Molecule: long non-coding RNA, 1572 nt
Filed under: Homo sapiens (human)
Lineage: Eukaryota; Metazoa; Chordata; Mammalia; Primates; Hominidae
Description: HSALNT0397070
Source: RNAcentral
GAGCAAAUGCAGGAGAGUAGAGAGGGCCUGAAAAGAAAGGGUGAUUAAGUUGUCCUGCAGUGAGGGAAACAACUGCAGGAUAGGGCCUCUUUCUUCUCUAGUACCCAGCAUGGCACCUGGCACCCAACAAGUGCAGACCAAUGUAGAAGAGCAAGGCAAUGUCAAUUUCAGGAGUGCAGGGCUCUCCUCCUCCCUAGGAACUAUUCAACCUCUGCCUUGAUACUGAAGAGCACAAAGCAGGAGAAAACUCUAUGUCUUUCCCAAAGGCAAUCUGUCUGUCUCUCUUUCCGGGAAGGUGUGUGCCUGCCAAUCACUCUAUAGGAAAGGAUGUACCUUUGAAGAGGAACUUUCUGGACCCUCUUAAUUCUGCCAUCAGUGCAGCUCUUCCAGAUAAAGAACAGAAGCGUACCUGGGAGAGCUGGCUGAAACCAGGACACGGUGGGACCAUUGGAAAGGACUCUAAACCACAGCAGCAGAAGGAGAGCUAGACUUGCAGGGACCCAGGCUCCACACUAGGGACCUCGACCUUGUCCUGCAGGGAGUGGAGACCCAUGAAUGGAUGUUAGCCCACAGUGCCUUGCAUACAGGAGAUCAUCAUUCUUCUGGUCCUAUGCCAUGUGAUUGUUACUGAGGAGGAUGGAGAUGACAUCAUCUACCACGCCUCCUCCCCAGAUGAAGCUGCUUUGGUGGAAGGUGCUAAAAAGCUGGGCUUUGUACAGUGAGAACACCAUAUUCGGUCAUCAUAGAAGCAAUAGAGCUUUGGAGCCAAACCCUUCUGAUGAUCCAAGGGCAAGCACAGUCUUCUUGCAAAAAUCUCAAACAGAUGGUGAGACGACACUGUUUUUUCCACCAAGAAGACGACUGAAAACUCUCUGUCAUAAUGAGUGUAUUAUAGAAAGCAUUUAGAGAAACUUACAUUGGUUUAAAAUUUUCAACUUUUCAUAUAUUCACUUGUCCUAUUUUAAUGUGUGAAAUACUUCUCUUUAGUUGUUACUGUGUGAGUGAAAACAUGUAAACUUUCUGUUUAUACAUUUUGCUACCUUUUGGCAACACCAUUUGUCAUGUGAUUUAAGAGUAGUCAUAGAUUUAUCUUUAUUCAUAAUUUUUUAUUCAUAUUUUUUGUCUUUCGCCCUUUUUCCCUUGCUCCAAAGAGUUCAUUUUAAUGAUGAAUGAUAGAAUUUAGGCUUCAGCUUGAUCUUUAUUUAAACAAAUAAAAAAACCAUUUGUUCAUCAAUGGGGAUUGAAUUUGUGAUUUCAGCCUCCUCUUAUACAGUGCUUUAACCAUAUGAGCUUAUCACAUCCAAGUUUAUGCUACUCAAAACUUUUAAGCUAUUAAACUUUUCCUGCUAAUGUAAUAUAAAUUUAAACAUCCAGUACUCCUGCUUAUAUUUUAAAUGUUAUGGUAAAUCCUAGUUUAUUUGAUUAAAAAGCCAUAUACAACCAAGUUUUUUAGUUGAUUUCAACAGCAAGAAUAUAAAUGAGGGUUCUAUAAUAAUAUUUGAAGUAAUGCAGUACAAUAAAAUUUGGGUUUCUAAUUGUGCUUUUAUGGUUUGUGUGGAUUUUGCCUGCCUU